Molecule: ribosomal RNA, 166 nt
Filed under: uncultured bacterium
Lineage: Bacteria
Description: partial 16S rRNA
Rfam family: Bacterial small subunit ribosomal RNA
Source: RNAcentral
UGGGGAAUAUUGGACAAUGGGGGGAACCCGUGAUCCAGCCAUGCCGCGUGUGUGAAGAAGGCCUUUUGGUUGUAAAGCACUUUAAGCGGGGAGGGAAGGCGAUAAGGUUAAUAACCUUGUCGAUUGACGUUACCCGCAGAAGAAGCACCGGCUAACUCCGUGUCAG